This 64-nucleotide transfer RNA is filed under the name Acinetobacter lwoffii. It matches the Rfam family "tRNA", at positions 6 to 65 of the family's 71-position model. From Rfam's summary of the family: Transfer RNA (tRNA) molecules are approximately 80 nucleotides in length. Their secondary structure includes four short double-helical elements and three loops (D, anti-codon, and T loops). Further hydrogen bonds mediate the characteristic L-shaped molecular structure. tRNAs have two regions of fundamental functional importance: the anti-codon, which is responsible for specific mRNA codon recognition, and the 3' end, to which the tRNAs corresponding amino acid is attached (by aminoacyl-tRNA synthetases). tRNAs cope with the degeneracy of the genetic code in two manners: having more than one tRNA (with a specific anti-codon) for a particular amino acid; and 'wobble' base-pairing, i.e. permitting non-standard base-pairing at the 3rd anti-codon position. The record is from RNAcentral. Lineage: Bacteria; Pseudomonadati; Pseudomonadota; Gammaproteobacteria; Moraxellales; Moraxellaceae. RNAcentral also lists the same sequence under 9 other names.
AGUAGUUCAAUUGGUAGAGCGUCGGUCUCCAAAACCGAAUGUUGGGGGUUCGAGUCCCUCCUGG